RNAcentral lists this ribosomal RNA (440 nucleotides) under uncultured bacterium. RNAcentral's name for it is "bacterial SSU rRNA". It matches the Rfam family "Bacterial small subunit ribosomal RNA", at positions 338 to 795 of the family's 1533-position model. The record is from RNAcentral.
CCUACGGGUGGCAGCAGUGAGGAAUAUUGCCCAAUGGAGGAAACUCUGAGGCAGCAACGCCGCGUGAACGAUGACGGCCUUCGGGUUGUAAAGUUCUUUUCUCAGGGAAGAUAGUGACGGUACCUGAGGAAUAAGUCCCGGCUAACUACGUGCCAGCAGCCGCGGUAAAACGUAGGGGACGAGCGUUAUCCGGAUUUACUGGGCGUAAAGCGCCCGUAGGCGGCUAUUUAAGUUGGACGUGAAAGCUCCCGGCUUAACUGGGAGAGGCCGUUCAAAACUGAAAAGCUAGAGUGAGGCAGAGGAGCGUGGAAUUCCCGGUGUAGUGGUGGAAUGCGUAGAGAUCGGGAGGAACACCAGUGGCGAAAGCGGCGCUCUGGGCCUAAACUGACGCUGAGGGGCGAAAGCGUGGGGAGCGAACGGGAUUAGAUACCCCUGUAGUC